AGAGCGAACGCUGGCGGCAGGCUUAACACAUGCAAGUCGAGCGGGCGUAGCAAUACGUCAGCGGCAGACGGGUGAGUAACGCGUGGGAACAUACCUUUUGGUUCGGAACAACACAGGGAAACUUGUGCUAAUACCGGAUAAGCCCUUACGGGGAAAGAUUUAUCGCCGAAAGAUUGGCCCGCGUCUGAUUAGCUAGUUGGUGAGGUAACGGCUCACCAAGGCGACGAUCAGUAGCUGGUCUGAGAGGAUGAUCAGCCACAUUGGGACUGAGACACGGCCCAAACUCCUACGGGAGGCAGCAGUGGGAAUAUUGGACAAUGGGCGCAAGCCUGAUCCAGCCAUGCCGCGUGAGUGAUGAAGGCCCUAGGGUUGUAAAGCUUCUUUUGUGCGGGAAGAUAAUGACGGUUACCGCAAGAAUAAGCCCCGGACUAACUUCGCGCCAGCAGCCGC
This 450-nucleotide ribosomal RNA is filed under the name uncultured bacterium. RNAcentral describes it as "SSU rRNA". It matches the Rfam family "Bacterial small subunit ribosomal RNA", at positions 26 to 518 of the family's 1533-position model. The record is from RNAcentral.